This 240-nucleotide unclassified non-coding RNA is filed under the name Hevea brasiliensis (rubber tree). Lineage: Eukaryota; Viridiplantae; Streptophyta; Magnoliopsida; Malpighiales; Euphorbiaceae. The record is from RNAcentral.
AGCAUUUCAUGACCCUUGAAGAUCGAUCUCCAUAAACCAGGUAAGCCGAAAGACCCUGGAGAUGCCUACUACAAGUCAAACAUAUAGAUCCUCCACAAAUAUAAGAAAUGAAGGUUGGCAAAAAGAGACUAUAGAAACUCCUCUAACAACCUGAUUACAAGUGUGCAUCACAGCUAAAACAAUAAGACAAUAGGAGGGCAGAUCCAUGAUAGAGAUCUCUCAACAAGAGCACCAGAUUUG